This 201-nucleotide ribosomal RNA is filed under the name Clostridioides difficile. RNAcentral's name for it is "partial 23S ribosomal RNA". It matches the Rfam family "Bacterial large subunit ribosomal RNA", at positions 2223 to 2425 of the family's 2925-position model. The record is from RNAcentral. Lineage: Bacteria; Bacillati; Bacillota; Clostridia; Peptostreptococcales; Peptostreptococcaceae.
CCAUAGGCCAUGAAUCUGGUCUUGGGACACUGUCAGGUGGGCAGUUUGACUGGGGCGGUCGCCUCCCAAAAGGUAACGGAGGCGCUCAAAGGUUCUCUCAGUACGGUCGGAAAUCGUACGUAGAGUGGAAAGGCAAAAGAGAGCUUGAUUGCAAGACAUACAGGUCGAGCAAGGAUGAAAAUCGGACUUAGUGAUCCGGUG